RNAcentral lists this transfer RNA (71 nucleotides) under Nippostrongylus brasiliensis. It matches the Rfam family "tRNA". Rfam says of the family: Transfer RNA (tRNA) molecules are approximately 80 nucleotides in length. Their secondary structure includes four short double-helical elements and three loops (D, anti-codon, and T loops). The record is from Rfam by way of RNAcentral. Lineage: Eukaryota; Metazoa; Nematoda; Chromadorea; Rhabditida; Heligmosomidae.
GGUCCCGUGGUGUAGCGGUUAGCACUCAGGACUCUGAAUCCUGCGACGGAGUUCAAAUCUCCCCGGGACCU